UUCCUGCAGCAUUUUCACCCGUUCUUCCCAUACCAACCAAUUAAAAUCCUCCAAGCAAUAAUUGAGAUUUCACUGUGUGUACAUUUCUGGGUUCUGGGCUGGGGCCAAAGGAAUGAUGUGAUAAAGGAAGUAUUCAGAGAUAAGGGUCUGUUUUUGUGGUUAGUUCAGACUAUAGAUAAUGCAAAUUAUGUGGAAAUCAAAAUGAGGACAGGGUUGGCUUUGCCAGGGCAUGUUUCUUAGAGGAGAGUUUAUGGAGUAGUUGGUGGAAGUGGUAAUUCCAGGCUGGAAGAUGGCUGAGAAGAGAUGUGAAUGGAAAAGCCAAGUAGGGUAUUUACCACCACCUGUAGAGGAACUUCUGAAGAACAUACUUCAAGAAGAAUAAAAAUGAUCUCAAAAGGAAGAUCUGAGAAGCAAGAAAGAAGGAAGAAAAGAGUGAACAUGUAAUUGCUAAAGAAGACCUGUCUCUGAAAAGCUCUGUGUGCUAGUCACAGCCACCCGUCCCCAGGAGCUUUACCAAGAUGGACAUUGUUUCCCUACACUUGAGUCCUAGGAGGGAGGAAAGCUCUGCUGGACUUCAGUUGGGCUUCUCUUUAUGACCGAGUGGCAAUAAGACCCAGUGACAAUCACUCCCUACUUGAAUCUGUACUAUAUUGUCUUCAGUCUUCCAGCUGCCUUCCUCUGUCGAACUCAGUGUCCUCUGCCACUGGACCUUUCUCUUUGAAAGCCUCCUCAGAUUACUCUCUUUGAGUGCAGGACUGUUCCUACCCAACUCGAGGACUUCCUUGUUCAACACACACGCUCAUCAUCCAGCUGGAGCUGAGGUGAGUGGGAUGAGGGAAGGAUAAACGUGAGAGCUCUGUGUUUUCAGACAGUUCUUAAGCUUCUAGGAAAGUUAAUUAGGAAGUGAAACCUGAAGCAGUUGACAGUGUGCAUUGUUGGCUACUAGGGCAUGGUGACAAAUAGCCCUAAAAAGUCUUCACUUUCUUUUGUAAACAGAAAGGUAAGGAAUUUGUACAAAAAUGCACUGGGGAAGAUCUGCUUUUCAUCAGGGUCUAACCACAUAGUAAACAACAGAAAUAACUUGUUUUAAUAAAGUGUGGUGUUGAAACGUUUAUCAGCAAGUUCUUUCUACCAGCUUCCAAAGGUAUAUUUGGAUAAGAGAAACCUUUGCCCAAAAGAACACAAUCUGAAAUUUAGUUAUAACAUUUUCUUCAUGUCAAGGUCAAGAAACUUAAGGGAAAAGUUUGACUUUCAUGUAAUUGUGAAUUUAUCUCUUAUUAGGCUCAUAUAUUGUGAAUAAGUAUUUACUUAUUAUUUGGGGGUAGAUGUGGUUGGGGAAGAGGAGAGAACUCUGCAAAAUGUUUGAUCUGGAAUGGUUUAAUGAAUUCUAUCAUUUAAAGUGUCUGCUUCCUUCAUCUUUCUCUGGAUGGAUGUGU
Non-coding RNA from Microcebus murinus (gray mouse lemur), 1436 nucleotides. Lineage: Eukaryota; Metazoa; Chordata; Mammalia; Primates; Cheirogaleidae. The record is from RefSeq and is a predicted model, not a curated record.